RNAcentral lists this ribosomal RNA (253 nucleotides) under uncultured bacterium. RNAcentral's name for it is "partial 16S ribosomal RNA". It matches the Rfam family "Bacterial small subunit ribosomal RNA", at positions 524 to 776 of the family's 1533-position model. The record is from RNAcentral.
UACGGGGGGGGCAAGCGUUGUUCGGAAUUACUGGGCGUAAAGGGCUGGUAGGCGGCCAACUAAGUCGGAUGUGAAAUCCCCGGGCUUAACCUGGGAAUGGCAUUUGGGACUGCAAGGCUGGAGUGUGGCAGAGGAGACUGGAAUUCCUGGUGUAGCAGUGAAAUGCGUAGAUAUCAGGAGGAAUACCGAUGGCGAAGGCGGCUUUCUGGACGACAACUGACGCUGAGACGCGAAAGCGUGGGGAGCAAACAGG